Non-coding RNA from Pimephales promelas (fathead minnow), 750 nucleotides. NCBI's taxonomy places the organism in Eukaryota, Metazoa, Chordata, Actinopteri, Cypriniformes, Leuciscidae. The record is from RefSeq and is a predicted model, not a curated record.
UUUGUUGAUGUUCUCUCUCUAGAUUGAGACUCCGCCCUAGAUGCACGCAGGUAAUCAGCACUCAAUUCAUUGAUAGAUUAAGGUAAUUCAUUCCAAGGGGUAUAUUAAAGUGGUGUCACCGGAGAUUGCGUGAAUGUGCGACCGCGUUCUAGCACGUCAUUAUUUUUGCGACUGUCUGGUGCUCUGGCUGAGGUUCUGGGCUGUUUGCAGAAAAGCACUCGUUGUGCUGAGGGUUGCAUGCCUGGCAACCCGCGCUGGUUGCCGUAGACGACCGUUUCGGGUAUGAAUUGCAUUCAGCAUCGGGGGUGUAUUGCUGCUUGACUUCCUGCUUAUCAUGACUGUUCAUCUCUUGCCGACUGGACGAGUGGCGCGAUCUCCGCAUGUUUGGUAUGUGCCAGCAAUUGUACAAUAGUAAAUUAAUGCUAUGCAUAUUUUAGCUCAUAGUCAGGCUUUUGCAGGUGACUUGAUCUGCCGUUUUAAGGGCACUUGAAGACUACACUUACCGGCUCUAGGACUUGUCGUCGCUGCUGUUUUGUUCCCAUUACAAUUUCAUUUAGUUUUUUUUGUGUUCAUUCCUUUACCAACAUGCUUCAGUGCAGUUGCUCACGUCUGAGCACGUCUCCGCACUGCUAAUGUUUUAUUUUGUUUUUGUUGAGUGAUUUGGCUGUAUUAGUUGGGUGGGGGUAAUUAAUUAAUUUACAUUCUGUGUUUUUCUUGGGGUUGUUUUAUUAUUUGUGAUUUCGUUGAUGU